This 252-nucleotide ribosomal RNA is filed under the name uncultured Bacteroidales bacterium. RNAcentral's name for it is "partial 16S ribosomal RNA". It matches the Rfam family "Bacterial small subunit ribosomal RNA", at positions 524 to 776 of the family's 1533-position model. Lineage: Bacteria; Pseudomonadati; Bacteroidota; Bacteroidia; Bacteroidales. The record is from RNAcentral.
UACGUAGGGGGCAAGCGUUAUCCGGAUUUACUGGGUGUAAAGGGUGCGUAGGCGGAGUGUCAAGUCAGCGGUAAAAUUUCGGGGCUCAACCUCGUCGUGCCGUUGAAACUGACACCCUUGAGUGAGUGAGAAGUAAGCGGAAUGCGUGGUGUAGCGGUGAAAUGCAUAGAUAUCGCGCAGAACUCCGAUUGCGAAGGCAGCGUACCGGCGCCAGACUGACGCUGAGGCACGAAAGCGUGGGGAUCGAACAGG